Molecule: unclassified non-coding RNA, 394 nt
Filed under: soil metagenome
Description: partial contains 5.8S ribosomal RNA, internal transcribed spacer 2, and large subunit ribosomal RNA
Rfam family: 5.8S ribosomal RNA (bases 1-122)
Source: RNAcentral
GAUGAAGAACGUAGCGAAAUGCGAUACUUGGUGUGAAUUGCAGAAUCCCGUGAACCAUCGAGUCUUUGAACCCAAGUUGCGCCCGAAGCCAUUAGGCCGAGGGCACGCCUGCCUGGGUGUCACACACCGUUACCCUCGCGCCAACGUCCAUCGUUGGCCGCGGCGCGGGGCGUGCGCUGACCUCCCGCGAGCGGGGUCUCGUGGUUGGUUGAAAAUCGAGUUCGCGGUCGAGGGUGCCGUGAUGAAAUGGUGGAUGGGCGACGCCCGAGGCCAAUCACGCGCGACUCUGUCCGGCUCGGACUCCUGGACCCCUUCGGCGUCUCCGGACGCUCUUUGGCGAGACCUCAGGUCAGGCGGGGCUACCCGCUGAGUUUAAGCAUAUCAUAGCGGAGGA